Molecule: long non-coding RNA, 912 nt
Organism: Manis pentadactyla (Chinese pangolin)
Lineage: Eukaryota; Metazoa; Chordata; Mammalia; Pholidota; Manidae
Exons: 3
Source: RefSeq, a predicted model, not a curated record
GGCCUGCCUUCCUGUCUCCUGCGCACCACAGCCCCAGAGUAGGACACUCAGAAGGGAGCAGUGAUGACCGUGUCCAACACCUGUGUCCCUAAGUCAAGACCCACCCAAGACUGUGGUAGGUCAUGUUUGGAGCAAUGCUUUCCUGUGGCUGAGGACUGCCUGCCUUUGGAAAGUGCCAGGAGCCAGGAUGGAGAGUGAUGGAGGCAAGAACCUGCCCAUCCAUCCUGACUCCACUCUAAGCCAGGAGGAAAGAAUAUUUCUUAGACCCUCUGCGAUGUGACGAAGCUCCUGUACCUGGGAACUGAGUCAGAAGCCCAGCUAUCAUUGGGUCCAUUUCUUACCUUCCUGAUUCAUCUUCUCUAGAGGACAAUAAUAGAUACUGAAGUUAUCUUCAACUCCCCACUAUGCAAUCUGAUAGCAGGAGAUUCCCUGUUCCUCAUCCUAAGGUAAUACAUCAAGAGUUUUACUAUUUUCAGUUUUACUAUUUUACUCCUUAGUUUCUGGGGUUUUGUAUCAGAGAUUAGAAUUAAACCUUAUCAAAAGUCUUUCUGCAUCAACUGAAAUGACCAUGCCAUUCUUCUUUAGUCCAUUAAUAGGGUAAUUUAUGUUUACAAAUUUUCUGAUAUUUUCAUCUAACCAUUCCAGAGAUAAAACCCACCUAACUAUGCAUUAUGUGCUUUGUGUAUUAUUAUGUACUUCUAGAGUUGAUCAACGAAUAAACGUACUCCUUAUUGGGUAAAUCUAUUUUUUUCUUGGCUUUAGAUAGCCGAUUCAGAGUAAAUCUUGAUUUUGUACUCUUACCCUUAUUAAUUAAUUGUUCCUUAAUAUUUCUAUCCUUCCUGUUUCUUUGAAUUUACUUUGCUGUUUCUCUUACUGUUUCUUAACUUGCACACAUAUUUUUCUCAAAGCCUA